GGGUUGUGAGGUUAAGCGACUAAGCGUACACGGUGGAUGCCCUGGCAGUCAGAGGCGAUGAAGGGCGUGCUAAUCUGCGAUAAGCGCCGGUAAGGUGAUAUGAACCGUUAUAACCGGCGAUACCCGAAUGGGGAAACCCAGUGUGACUCGUCACACUAUCAUUAACUGAAUCCAUAGGUUAAUGAGGCGAACCGGGGGAACUGAAACAUCUAAGUACCCCGAGGAAAAGAAAUCAACCGAGAUUCCCCCAGUAGCGGCGAGCGAACGGGGAGGAGCCCAGAGCCUGAAUCAGCAUGUGUGUUAGUGGAAGCGUCUGGAAAGGCGCGCGAUACAGGGUGACAGCCCCGUACACAAAAGCGCAUGUGCUGUGAGCUCGAUGAGUAGGGCGGGACACGUGGUAUCCUGUCUGAAUAUGGGGGGACCAUCCUCCAAGGCUAAAUACUCCUGACUGACCGAUAGUGAACCAGUACCGUGAGGGAAAGGCGAAAAGAACCCCGGCGAGGGGAGUGAAAAAGAACCUGAAACCGUGUACGUACAAGCAGUGGGAGCACCCUUUGGGUGUGACUGCGUACCUUUUGUAUAAUGGGUCAGCGACUUAUAUUCUGUAGCAAGGUUAACCGAAUAGGGGAGCCGGAGGGAAACCGAGUCUUAACCGGGCGUUAAGUUGCAGGGUAUAGACCCGAAACCCGGUGAUCUAGCCAUGGGCAGGUUGAAGGUUGGGUAACACUAACUGGAGGACCGAACCGACUAAUGUUGAAAAAUUAGCGGAUGACCUGUGGCUGGGGGUGAAAGGCCAAUCAAACCGGGAGAUAGCUGGUUCUCCCCGAAAGCUAUUUAGGUAGCGCCUCGUGAAUUCAUCUCCGGGGGUAGAGCACUGUUUCGGCUAGGGGGCCAUCCCGGCUUACCAACCCGAUGCAAACUGCGAAUACCGGAGAAUGUUAUCACGGGAGACACACGGCGGGUGCUAACGUCCGUCGUGAAGAGGGAAACAACCCAGACCGCCAGCUAAGGUCCCAAAGUCAUGGUUAAGUGGGAAACGAUGUGGGAAGGCCCAGACAGCCAGGAUGUUGGCUUAGAAGCAGCCAUCAUUUAAAGAAAGCGUAAUAGCUCACUGGUCGAGUCGGCCUGCGCGGAAGAUGUAACGGGGCUAAACCAUGCACCGAAGCUGCGGCAGCGACACUGUG
This 1184-nucleotide ribosomal RNA is filed under the name Salmonella enterica subsp. enterica serovar Enteritidis. Its description in RNAcentral is "partial 23S ribosomal RNA". It matches the Rfam family "Bacterial large subunit ribosomal RNA", at positions 1 to 1218 of the family's 2925-position model. The record is from RNAcentral. Lineage: Bacteria; Pseudomonadati; Pseudomonadota; Gammaproteobacteria; Enterobacterales; Enterobacteriaceae.